Molecule: long non-coding RNA, 1068 nt
Organism: Dama dama (fallow deer)
Lineage: Eukaryota; Metazoa; Chordata; Mammalia; Artiodactyla; Cervidae
Exons: 4
Source: RefSeq, a predicted model, not a curated record
CGCUGAGGGAGGCCGUGUGUUCAGCCUGCCCGGCCCUGGAGGCUGUCCAGCCUCUCUGGCUUCUGGGCCCCGAGUGCGUUUGAAAGCUCUCCCUUCCAACUGUGCAGGCCUUAGAGGUGUAAAGAGCUGCCUUCUGAUGAAAGUGUGUAUUUAUGAAGAAAGGAGGAAGACCUGACCUCCACUGACUCUCCCCUCAGUGUCUGGGCCGCCGAUGCCUCAACUUCCUUUUCUUGUCCUGAAACGAAACCUCAGGAUCCUCUUUCACCAGAUUUAAGAUUAGCGUGUCAUUCAUCAAGAGAGAUCUUUGACUUAUACGUGGAAAGCCUCAAAAAAGUUAAAAGACUGAAAAACACAGAGGAUGAUUGCAGCAAAAUAAGAAAUUAGUAUCAAAAUGAGAAAUUAAUAGCUUUUGGUAUUGAUUUCUAACAUAAUUUCAUAGUGACAAGAGAAAAGACUCUGUGAAAUUUUUGCAUCUUGUUUUAUGCCCCUGGAUAUGUUCCAGUGUCUCCUGGUUUAUAGACUGUGGGAACUUGAAUACAAUUUGUAUCCUGCUGUUGUGUGAACAUUGUAUAAAUCUUAAUUAUGUUGAAUUGGUUUAUAGUACUUUUCCAGCCUACUGUAUCCUUCUACUUUUCUGUCUCUUCAUUCCAAUAAUUUUGAGAGUUUAAUAUUGAAACUCCAACUAAAAAUCUUAAUUUACCUACUUAAAAAUAAUUGUAAUACAUAGUGGAACCAUAUGUAACUUUGUUCUGUAUUUUCCAAGUCUCCUGUAAGUGUGUUACCAUACUUUCAUAAUUAAAAAAAAAAUUAAACAAAAAAGUACUAUUUAAAAUAAUCGGAUUUUCAUUGUUGGAAGAGUUAUAUCGUUCCUGCAACCUGGGCCACGUGCCUGUUACACUUCACAGCUGUAAACUUUCCCUAGAUCACAAGACUUUGUAUGCAACUGUUUUAGUUCACAUACCCAUUUUGGGGAAAACCUAAAAGGAUAUUGUCUCAAGUAUGUGGUGUUUCAGAAUACUGGUUUGCCUAAGAUGAAAUAUAAAAUUAUCACAAAUACUUUCUGAUGUA